UACGUAGGGUGCAAGCGUUGUCCGGAUUUAUUGGGCGUAAAGAGCGUGUAGGCGGCCAUACAGGUCCGUUGUGAAAACUCGAGGCUUAACCUCGAGACGUCGAUGGAAACCGUAUGGCUAGAGUCCGGAAGAGGAGACUGGAAUUCAUGGUGUAGCAGUGAAAUGCGCAGAUAUCAGGAAGAACACCUAUGGCGAAGGCAGCUCUCUGGGACGGUACUGACGCUGAGACGCGAAAGCGUGGGGAGCGAACAGG
This 253-nucleotide ribosomal RNA is filed under the name uncultured bacterium. RNAcentral's name for it is "partial 16S ribosomal RNA". It matches the Rfam family "Bacterial small subunit ribosomal RNA", at positions 524 to 776 of the family's 1533-position model. The record is from RNAcentral.